UUGGCUCUGUGGAAUUAGUUACCCA
Molecule: non-coding RNA, 25 nt
Filed under: Cricetulus griseus (Chinese hamster)
Lineage: Eukaryota; Metazoa; Chordata; Mammalia; Rodentia; Cricetidae
Source: RNAcentral